CUGCCUACGGGACGCAGCAGUGAGGAAUAUUGGUCAAUGGGCGAGAGCCUGAACCAGCCAAGUCGCGUGAGGGAGUACUGCCCUAUGGGUUGUAAACCUCUUUUGUCGGGGAGCAAAAGCCGGACGUGUCCGUCUGUGAGAGUACCCGAAGAAAAAGCAUCGGCUAACUCCGUGCCAGCAGCCGCGGUAAUACGGAGGAUGCGAGCGUUAUCCGGAUUUAUUGGGUUUAAAGGGUGCGCAGGCGGAUUUUUAAGUCAGCGGUCAAAUCGCGGGGCUCAACCCCGCCCAGCCGUCGGAACUGCCGG
Molecule: ribosomal RNA, 305 nt
Filed under: uncultured bacterium
Lineage: Bacteria
Description: bacterial SSU rRNA
Rfam family: Bacterial small subunit ribosomal RNA
Source: RNAcentral